UCCUGCAGAAUGAUGUGGAUAAAAUAUGAUUGGGCUCCUUAAUUGACAGAAGCCUAUGCCAGAUGGCUGAAAUGCCACUUUCGUUUUGGGAAGAAAGGAAGCCUUCAUGGGAAGGAGGGACUCUUGCGACUACAAGAUGAGGACCACCGGGGUUCAGGGAGCUACCAUACAGAUCAGCCAAGGUCACGCAAUCGGUUGCUUUGCCUGGAUGUCAACUCUGGCUAUUUAACUAAACAGCUCUGGAUCCCAGCCACUGUCCUCUGCCACUUGCUGUCUGGUGGAAUAUUAAGAAGUCUCUAGCAUCUUCCUGGCUGCCUUACCCUAUCCAAAGAUGUCUAUACUAAGAAGCCAAAGUAAAGAGAUGUAAUGUAGACCACAAGCAGUCGCUCAGAAAUCCUGACUUGUAUCGACUGAGACACCUUCCCAGGAAGAAAGCAGGGAUUAAAGAUGCGGCUUAUCAGUUCCUCUCUGGCUGCUGCACCAGGCAAAGAUGAGAGACCUAAGUUAAAGAAAGGAGGGGGAGGGGAGAGGGGAGACGAGAGAUGAGAGAGAGAGAGAG
Molecule: long non-coding RNA, 559 nt
Organism: Rattus norvegicus (Norway rat)
Lineage: Eukaryota; Metazoa; Chordata; Mammalia; Rodentia; Muridae
Source: RefSeq, a predicted model, not a curated record